RNAcentral lists this ribosomal RNA (492 nucleotides) under uncultured bacterium. RNAcentral's name for it is "partial 16S ribosomal RNA". It matches the Rfam family "Bacterial small subunit ribosomal RNA", at positions 29 to 507 of the family's 1533-position model. The record is from RNAcentral.
AGUGAACGCUGGCGGUAGGCCUAACACAUGCAAGUCGAACGGCAGCACAGUAAGAGCUUGCUCUUACGGGUGGCGAGUGGCGGACGGGUGAGGAAUACAUCGGAAUCUACUUUUUCGUGGGGGAUAACGUAGGGAAACUUACGCUAAUACCGCAUACGACCUACGGGUGAAAGCAGGGGAUCUUCGGACCUUGCGCGAUUGAAUGAGCCGAUGUCGGAUUAGCUAGUUGGCGGGGUAAAGGCCCACCAAGGCGACGAUCCGUAGCUGGUCUGAGAGGAUGAUCAGCCACACUGGAACUGAGACACGGUCCAGACUCCUACGGGAGGCAGCAGUGGGGAAUAUUGGACAAUGGGCGCAAGCCUGAUCCGGCCAUACCGCGUGGGUGAAGAAGACCUUCGGGUUGUAAAGCCCUUUUGUUGGGAAAGAAAAGCAGCAGGUUAAUACCCCGCUGUUCUGACGGUACCCAAAGAAUAAGCACCGGCUAACUUCGUG